GAUGAAGAACGUAGCGAAAUGCGAUACGUAAUGUGAAUUGCAGAAUUCAGUGAAUCAUCGAAUCUUUGAACGCACAUUGCGCCCCUUGGUAUUCCGGGGGGCAUGCCUGUUCGAGCGUCAUUAUCACCCCUCAAGCUCAGCUUGGUGUUGGGGCCGGUCCCUCACAGGGCCGCCCCUAAAAGCAGUGGCGGUGCCAUCUGGCUCUACGCGUAGUAAUACUCCUCGCGACAGAGUCCCGGCGGUGUCCUGCCAGAACCCCCCAUCUUUUUAAUGAUUGACCUCGGAUCAGGUAGGGAUACCCGCUGAACUUAAGCAUAUCAAUAAGCGGAGGA
RNAcentral lists this unclassified non-coding RNA (332 nucleotides) under soil metagenome. Its description in RNAcentral is "partial contains 5.8S ribosomal RNA, internal transcribed spacer 2, and large subunit ribosomal RNA". The stretch from base 1 to 120 matches the Rfam family "5.8S ribosomal RNA", at positions 35 to 154 of the family's 154-position model. The record is from RNAcentral.